Molecule: long non-coding RNA, 125 nt
Organism: Arachis duranensis
Lineage: Eukaryota; Viridiplantae; Streptophyta; Magnoliopsida; Fabales; Fabaceae
Exons: 3
Source: RefSeq, a predicted model, not a curated record
GAAGGGAGACCAUUAAGCUGUAGGCUUUCAGACAAAGCAAAUGACCAAUUACGGCAAUGGUUUGAAGAUGAUGAUGCGCUUGAGCGUGCUAUUAACAGAGAGUGGAUUUUGUUACCAUGCAGAGA